Molecule: ribosomal RNA, 498 nt
Filed under: uncultured bacterium
Lineage: Bacteria
Description: partial 16S ribosomal RNA
Rfam family: Bacterial small subunit ribosomal RNA
Source: RNAcentral
GAUGAACGCUGGCGGCGUGCCUAAUACAUGCAAGUCGAGCGAACAGACGAGGAGCUUGCUCCUCUGACGUUAGCGGCGGACGGGUGAGUAACACGUGGAUAACCUACCUAUAAGACUGGGAUAACUUCGGGAAACCGGAGCUAAUACCGGAUAAUAUAUUGAACCGCAUGGUUCAAUAGUGAAAGACGGUUUUGCUGUCACUUAUAGAUGGAUCCGCGCCGCAUUAGCUAGUUGGUAAGGUAACGGCUUACCAAGGCGACGAUGCGUAGCCGACCUGAGAGGGUGAUCGGCCACACUGGAACUGAGACACGGUCCAGACUCCUACGGGAGGCAGCAGUAGGGAAUCUUCCGCAAUGGGCGAAAGCCUGACGGAGCAACGCCGCGUGAGUGAUGAAGGUCUUCGGAUCGUAAAACUCUGUUAUUAGGGAAGAACAAAUGUAUAAGUAACUAUGCACGUCUUGACGGUACCUAAUCAGAAAGCCACGGCUAACUACGUGC